CGGCAAGAGCUCAAAUUUGAAAUCUGGUGCCUUUGGUGCCCGAGUUGUAAUUUGAAGAAAGCUAUCUUGGAUUUGGCCUUUGUCUAUGUUCCUUGGAACAGGACGUCACAGAGGGUGAGAAUCCCGUGCGAUGAGGUGUCCAUUUCUAUGUAAGAUGUUUUCGAA
RNAcentral lists this ribosomal RNA (165 nucleotides) under Pichia sp. RNAcentral describes it as "partial large subunit ribosomal RNA". It matches the Rfam family "Eukaryotic large subunit ribosomal RNA", at positions 99 to 261 of the family's 3401-position model. Lineage: Eukaryota; Fungi; Ascomycota; Pichiomycetes; Pichiales; Pichiaceae. The record is from RNAcentral.